AUUGAACGCUGGCGGCAGGCCUAACACAUGCAAGUCGAGCGGUAGAGAGAAGCUUGCUUCUCUUGAGAGCGGCGGACGGGUGAGUAAUGCCUAGGAAUCUGCCUAGUGGUGGGGGAUAACGUUCGGAAACGGACGCUAAUACCGCAUACGUCCUACGGGAGAAAGCGGGGGACCUUCGGGCCUCGCGCCAUUAGAUGAGCCUAGGUCGGAUUAGCUAGUUGGUGAGGUAAUGGCUCACCAAGGCUACGAUCCGUAACUGGUCUGAGAGGAUGAUCAGUCACACUGGAACUGAGACACGGUCCAGACUCCUACGGGAGGCAGCAGUGGGGAAUAUUGGACAAUGGGCGAAAGCCUGAUCCAGCCAUGCCGCGUGUGUGAAGAAGGUCUUCGGAUUGUAAAGCACUUUAAGUUGGGAGGAAGGGUAGUAACUUAAUACGUUGCUACUUUGACGUACCGACAG
RNAcentral lists this ribosomal RNA (460 nucleotides) under uncultured Pseudomonas sp. Its description in RNAcentral is "bacterial SSU rRNA". It matches the Rfam family "Bacterial small subunit ribosomal RNA", at positions 30 to 484 of the family's 1533-position model. The record is from RNAcentral. Lineage: Bacteria; Pseudomonadati; Pseudomonadota; Gammaproteobacteria; Pseudomonadales; Pseudomonadaceae.